Molecule: transfer RNA, 25 nt
Filed under: Girella leonina
Lineage: Eukaryota; Metazoa; Chordata; Actinopteri; Centrarchiformes; Girellidae
Description: partial tRNA-Leu
Source: RNAcentral
GUUAAGGUGGCAGAACCCGGCUAAU